Molecule: long non-coding RNA, 9973 nt
Organism: Mus musculus (house mouse)
Lineage: Eukaryota; Metazoa; Chordata; Mammalia; Rodentia; Muridae
Product: predicted gene, 35574
Exons: 4
Source: RefSeq, a predicted model, not a curated record
AGAAUCAAAGGUAUGCACACCUCCACUGCCUGGCCCUGUCACAUCUAUCUUCAAAUCCAAUCCCAACACUAAUACUGGACUAGUUACACUAAAUGUAGUACAGCUAAAUAAACAGCUCAAUAGUAGAGACCGCACAAGACCCUGGAUUUGAUUCUCAGAACCAAGAGGUGGGGUGGAGGGAGGGGUGGUAAUUGCUUUCAACAGCAGCAUAACAAAGUAUCAAACACUCCAUGCAGUCUUGUAGUCCCAGCAAGUGGAAAGCUGAGGCAAGAUUACUAUCAGUUCAUGGGCAACCUGGGAUACACAGCAUAAUACAGUUUCAAGACACCAAAAACAAGUACUUAGAACUUUUUGUUUUCCUUUUGCAGCAGUCAGGGCUAAAGUCAAUGAGUAACUUCAAUGUUAUACAUGGUGCUUAACAACAACCCAUCCACUGCCCCAGUUCCAAGAUACCCACCGCAUGGUCCACAUCCAAAAACAUUAUUCUGGACAAACUAUCCAAGUUAAUCUAAGUACCAACAUGGAAAGAGUAAAGACACGACACUGUUCAGAGAUGCUUCCAAUUUAGACUGUCACAACAGACAUGUGCAUCAGCCUGGGUCCCAAGGAGAACAAACAGUAACAUCAUUUGUGAAGCUGAAAGAUAGUAAACAUCUACUAGGAGGGAACACAGUCAGCAACAGAGCAAAUGAGUAACUGCUCUUCAAGUUAUAGACCUUUCUGCUACAGCCAAGAAAGUACAAGACACACAAAAUGGUCUGCAGUCAAACUGGAGAGAGCCCUGAGUAUCAUACCAGCUAAGACUGACUGUUAAAGGCAAAGCUACGGAGGUUUUUUAUUUUUGUUUUGUUCACUGAACUUUUUGUGGAUUUUUUGGGGAGGUGGGGAGGGCAAGGGGUGGGUAAGACAGUGUUUCGCUCCAUUACUCUGCCCGUUCUGGAACUUGUUCUAUAGACCAGGCUGGCCUCAAACUCAGAGAUCUACCUGCCUCUGCCUCCCAAGUGCUGGGAUUAAAGGCGUGCACCACCAGACCUAGCUCCACAAAGAGUGUUUAUAGACAGAAGUCACAGGGUGAAGGAACAGUCUGUGUGAAAUUAACAUGACAACCAAAAAGAGAAACUGAAAGCAAGAACAGCAGAAAAGGUAAGGAAGCGAUGGUUUCAAAUGCAAGAGCAUUCGCACCAAGCAGUGCUGUCAAUAUCCAGAACUGGUUCCUAUUUAAAACAUUCACACUUGUUUCAUUUUCUUGAUUUAAGAAAAAAAUAAAAGGUGGUUUCUUGACCAAAGUCUGAGGGAAAGGCUUUUCUGCCUUUUCACGUGAGACCACUGAAACCAAAAGCAGAGGGCUUAGAACACAGGAGGGAGGCCUAGGUAGGAUUAGCAAAGCACAGGGCUACCACGCCAGCGCUGUGCACAGGAGGGAGCUAUACCCUGAUAAAGCCUCAAGCAGGCCACACCGUGCACUGUAGUGGCUGGCCUUAGAGUCAGCUCUGACUACACAGAAUCUACUGCUCUGUGCCUCGGCUCACCCCAGGGGUCGUCUGUGAGUCACUAUGUAACUAUCUAAAGCCAAAGCAUAAACCCUGGGUCAUCCACACUUAUAGGACAAAACAACUAAGUACUUUAAAAACUUCUGCCGCCUACUCAGAAAGAACACUAGUGAGCAAAUUUACAACAAAUGUAGAACACAAUCUAUCCCACAGCUUAACUUCAUCACUGGUUCCUUCCAUGAUUCACGACUUUCCAGAUACAGCAGUGCUCUCGCCAGGGGUGGUAGCACACACCUGCAACCUCGGCAUUCGGGAAGAUGAGAAAAGAAAACCCUGAGUUUGAGACUAGUCCAGACUACACAGUGACAGAGCCUUGAAAAGAAAAAAAGUAUUCUUAACUUACAUGUGCACUUAUUAAUUACUAUAACCCAAAAAGGUUUCUUCUUAAAAUAGAAAAAUAUUUUCACAGCCUAUGUAACCUUUCCAUAACUAGCUCCUCCAAACAGCAUUACCUACUAAUUUAAAACCAUGGCAACACUGAUUUCACAUUAAAAAAUGAAAAGUUGUUCUCAUUUCCACUUUCUCUAUAUUAAUGUUCAAUAAAGUUUCAACAUGCCAUUUAAAACUGACAAGCACCUAGUGCACAAAACUCACAAUAUUUGAUUACUUUAAUAUAAUUUCCAAAAUCAAACAUACUUGAAAUCAAUUAAAUAUGCUAUAUCAUCAUGGAGUUCAUUCUUUAUCAAUGUAAUCUCACCUGACACACAAAAGAAAUAGGAACAAUGAAGGUUAAACAAGAAAUAAGCUAAAAGCUACUAAUCCACUCCACUUAGGGCACCUGAAUCAGAAAGAGCUGUACUGCUCUCUACACAGCUCUAAGGUCUGAGGUGUUAAAAUCAUUUGCAAAGCUCUAUACAAGGCUAUCCGCCAAAGCAUGAACAUCACAAGAAGGGUUCACUACCAGGCCCCUCCCCAAAGAGAAGCAACUUUAUAAAGUUGAGCUACUAGAAGAAUAAAAUAGAAAGCAACCUCGAUCUAUAUCUACAAACUUGAAAGGCUUGUCACAAAAAUAACAGAUUACAAAAAGUAUCAGCUGUGGAUAUAGUUCAGAUGAUAAAUUGCUUGCUUAACAUUCAUGAUACUCUUGAGUUCAAGUCCCAGCAUGACAUACAUCAGGCUUGCCUAUAACCCCAACACGGAAGGUGGAGAGGAGGACCAGGAAUUCAAGGUCAUCCUACAUUACAUAGGGAACUUAAAAGACAACCUGAGCUAUAGGUGACAAUAUUCAUACGUGUGUAUGUAUACUAUAUGUAUACUGGGCAUGUGUGUGUCUGUUUACAUAUAUAUGUACAUAUACAUAUAUAUAUAUAAUUUUUAAUACUGUGAUUCUUUCUUGUGAAUAUAUAUACAUAUAUAUACACACACAUAUGUGUGUAUACAUAUAUAUACCUACAGUCACUGAAAGUCUACAUAUAGAUCCCCAGAUGUUAAACUGUAGUGUUUCUUUUUCUUUUUCUUUUUUCUUUUUCUUUUUUUCCGAGACAGGGUUUCUCUGUGUAGCCCUGGCUGUCCUGGAACUCAGUCUGUAGACCGGGCUGGCCUCGAACUCAGAAAUCCACCUGCCUCUACCUCCCAGGUGCUGGGAUUAAAGGCAUACACCACCACUGCUUGGCUAACUGUAAUAUUUUUGAAAGUUAAAAUUAUAAGUGCUAUUUUUCUGUCUUCUUUUUAGUAUUUUAUAAAAAAAAAAAAAAUUUCCAAGCAAAAUAGUAAUUGCAAAAAUUGCUAUGCUUAGUUAGUUGGAGGUUAGUCUUAGUAUGAGUGAGACUGUCUCUUUUUAAAAACCAAACAGUGAGGGUUCGGAGAGAUGACUCAGUGGCUAGCUAAGAGCUGGCUGCUCUUCAGAAGCCAGGGUUUGAUCCCUAGCAUCCACAAAGCAGAGAAAUGUUCUGUAACUCUAAUUCCAGGGGAUUUGAUGCCCUCUCCUGGCCCUUGUGGGCACUGCAUGAAAAUAAUGCAUAGAUACACAUUUAGGCAAACACUCAAAGGCAUAAAAUAAAAAUAAAACCUCAAAAUUAAAAGAGGGGAAAAAAAGGAAGAAAAAAACAAAACUAGCUGGGCAGUGGUGGCGCACACCUUUAAACCCAGCACUCAGGAGGCAGAGGCAGGGGAAGCUCUGGGUUUGAGGCCAGCCUGGUCUACAGAGUGAGUUCCAGAACAGCCAAUGCUACACAGAGAAACCCUGUCUGGAAACAAACAAACAAACAAGCAAGCAAGCAAGCAAACAAACAAACAAAAGAUCCUGUCUCAAAAAAAAUUUAAAAGAAAGAAAAUUAAUUUGUAGGAUUCCAACUAACAAAGUCCAAAUGUUUUUAAAGAGAGAUUUGCAAAACCAGGCACGUUAGCACUCAUCUUAAUCCCAGUCCUCUGGAGUAAAAGGAGGGCAGCUUUUUGUGAGUUCAAGGCCAGUUUGGUCUACAUCGUAAGAUACAGACCAGCCAGGGCUCUACACUGGAAAUGCAUAGUGUCCCCACAAAAUAGCCAGGCAUAGAACUAAAGGAAAUGUCUUAGCAGCAUUACAAUACUUAGUGAGCUAGGCAUCUUAAACAACUCCAGGACUGCCUUGGCAUUUUAGGGAGGCCGGCUGGUAACACUUGCCCUGGCCAGGCUUCCUUACCUUGCUCAUUCCCCUCCUACUACAUCAAAGAACUAUGCGAAAAGCAAAAGUUAUGUGAUACAUUAUAAACUGAAUAGCACUACAAAACUAAGGUAUCAAGUAUUCUUCAAACAGUAAAAGAAGAGAGUAGAGGGCUGGAGAGAUGGCUCAGUGGUUAAGAGCACUGACUGCUCUUCCAGAGGUUCUGAGUUCAAAUCCCAGCAACCACAUGGUGGCUCACAACCAUCUGUAAUGGGAUGUGACAUUGUACUCAUAAAAUAAAUAAAUAAAUUUAAAAAAAAGAAGAAGACAGUAGAGCAUAGUGGCUUAUGCCCAUCAUCCCAACACUUAGGAGAGAUACACAACAUCAGGAGCUCAAGGUUUUCUUCAGCCACACGGUGAGUUAAAGGCCAGUUAGAGCUACACAAAAAAGAAAUGCUUAGUGACAGAGCUGAACACUUAAGAAAACAGUACCAUCAAUUCUGUGAAGUAAUGAACCAAGCUCUUGUUUAGUUUUUAGUAUGCUACAGCUUAUAAAAUCCCACUUUCUGAAGGCAGAUACUUCUUCCUAGAUCCCACUACAAACACAGCCACUUUAUUUUCUUACCCCUAGUUACCAGCAUGAAAGGGUACAAAUUACACUGAAAUCAAAAGCCUCAGCAUGAACCCUGGAACAGCAUGCUGAUGGAGUUCACCAGGAGGAACCCAAGGUUAAUCAGCUACUGCAAUCAAAGGGGAUUAGGAGACACUCCUGGAAGAGAAAGACAAUGCAGUCACCCGGAGAAAACCAGCAAGGAAAAGGCGGCAAUAUUUCAAAACAAUUACAUCAACUACUUAAAAACUUAAGUGUUUUCCAAAUUGUUUUAAAAUACUGUUCCCAAGAAGUGACAUAAAACAAAAGCCAUCUAAAUGCAGCACUUCAUAAAAGCAAGUCAGAGAGAUUAAAAUCAAAUCCAUGAAUAACAUGUCAGACUUACUUGCUUCUAUGUGAAAUAAAAGCAGACGAAUUACACCACAGAGAUCAAAACUAAGUGGUUAUUUGUUGAAAAUAAAGAGACAGAUAUGACAACAAAAUGUACUGAUACACUUCCACAGCAGAUACUUUAAAAGUAGGCUUCCCUGCUCAUUGGAUUCCAUUAUUUACUCCUUGAAAGUGAUGAAUCCUUCCCCCAGUGCUCCUUCUAUGAGUUAACAGCAAUACAACUUGAGUUUUAAUGCAAAAGACAUUUAAGAAAAAAUAAUGACUUUGGAAGGUGAGUGUGGUGGCUCAUGCUGAUAUCCCAGCAUUCUGGAGACUGAGGCAAAAAGGCUGUCACCCUCCAGGCCAUUAUGAACUACAGAGUGAGUCCUGACUCUAAAAGAAAAAUGUUUAUUUUUGUUAUCAUUGUGGUUUUUUCUUCAUUUAGACCAGAGGUUCUCAACCUGUGAGUAUUGACCCCUUUAGAGGCAGAACUACGACCCUUUCACAGGAAUGGCUUUUCAGAUAUGCCAAUCAUCAAAUAUUUAAAUUACAACUCAUAACAAGUAGCAAAAUUACAGUUAUGAAGUAGCGACGAAAUAAUUUUAUGGUUGGAGUCACCACAACAUAAGGAACUGUACUAAAGCAUUAGGAAGGUUGAGAACCACUGUUUUAGGGUAUUUUGUGGUCAUCUGAGUCUUUUUUUUUUUUCUCUUUAGUUUUAACCUGGUUUAUUUUCUAGAUAGAGUCUUGCCAUGUAAGGCCAGGCUGGCCUAGAACUCACAUUACUUAAAUCUUAACCUUCUAAGUUACUAGGAUUAAAAGCAAGGGAGCUGUCUAUAAAUAAAUUAAAUAAAUAAAUAAAUAAAAUUUUAAAAAGGCAUGGUGGCAGUCCUUUAAUCACAGCACUGCAGAGAAAGAAGCAGAGGCAGGCAGACCUUUGUGAGUUGGAGGUCAGCCUGGUCUACGUAGCAAGUUCCAGGCCAGCCAGAGCUCACAGAGAGAGACUGUCUUAAGAAAACAACAAAUCAAAGUAACUACAAUGAAACUGUCAGGUUAUCGCUACCAAGAUCACUUGGGCUGCACAUCCUCCCCGUUUGAAGUGCCUUCACCUUCACAGCCUCCCAGAAAUCAUUUGUGGGUAUUCCCCUAAUGAAAACUUGAACUCUUCAUAAGCAGAAGUGCACAGAGAACUCAUUUUGAUAUGUAUGACUCAAUCUACUUUUUAUUGGCAAUAUCUUCAAGCUUGCACUAUCCCUACGGGGGCUUUGGAUCUGUUUUUCCCAUCUGAUCUUAGCAGAAUCACUAUAGAUUUAAAAGGAUUCACUAAAAGGGCCAUUAGGAAAAUAAUUAUAAAUACAAUCCACUGCACAGUCAAAUGUGGGCUGUGAAUUGGGAUAAGGAAAAAAAAUUAGUGUUUCCUCAGCAGUUCCCAUUAGAGUUCUGUAUUUUCAUUUAAAACUUAAAAAUAAAAAAAUCUAGGGUUCCCCCUAAUUAUUUAGACUUUCCCUAUUUUAUUAGCAUAUAUGACCAAUAUCUUUCACACAUCACUCACACAAACACAUGCACACCCUAAAGAAAAUAUUUCUGAAAGGAAUAUAUUCCAAACUUCACUGUACACACACACACAAAGAUAUGCAUUCCUGUUAUCAUCGCCCCUACUCUCCAAAGCAGCAAUACCACAAUGAAGCCUUAGCAGGACUUUUACCACAGCUAUCACCAGCUAAGUAAUCUAUCACAGCUCCUUUAAGUCUCAGGCACACACAAUGACACACCAAUGUGUCAAAACACUUAUUAUAAUUUGAAAAAUUAUACAACAGAAACAUAAGAGUGGAAAACAAACCCUCUGGAAAUUUCAAGUAGCUUUUAGAGAGGGUGAAAAAAUGGAGACCAGUUUUAGAAAAAUACCAUUUCCAUUAAGUGUUCAGAGUCUGUGUGAUACUGACUCAUUUCUGUAAAGAGUAAACUUUACCUAACAAGACUCACACCAGGAAUCUCAUCUAUCCCCAAAGGCACUCUUCUUUCUUUUUCCUUUUUCUUUAUUCUAUUUCUUUAUUUUAUCAAGACAUGAUCUUACUAAGUAGCUCUGCCUAUCCUGGAACUCACUCUGUAGAUCAGCUGAUCCUCAAAAAGAGAUUCACCUGCCUCUGCCUCCCAAAGGCUGGGAUUAAAGGUAUGGGGCCACUAUGCCUGGCCCCGAAGGCACUUUCUUAAAAUAGAAACAACAAAGGUACUCUGUUCUUUGCAGGUACUUUUCCCAUAUGGUUUUCAAGCCUUACUACAUGGUCCAUGUAUAAAAAACUUGGCCAGCUAUUUUUCAAAUUGACUCCUAAAAAGUAUUAGGAAGCAAAGAUAAGACAGCAGCAACUCUGAAGAGGAUGGGGGUGGCACAUGCUUUUAAUCCCAGCACUUGGGAAGCAGGAGGCAGGCAGAUCUCUGAGUUCUGAGUUUGAGGCCAGUCUGUUCUAUAGAGUGAGUUCCAGGACAGCCAGGGCUACACAGAGAGAAACCCUGCCUCAAAACAAAAUCAAAAAUAAAAGAUGACAGUAACAUAGUGACAGAAAAAUAAUUACAUAAAAUACACAUACUUGAGCUCUGGGGUUUUUUGUUCGUUUGUUUUUAUGCAAGGUGGUUGUCUCCAAAAUGUUAAAUUUCAGAGGCUUUCUUGGUGAAAUCAAUAGUCUGAAAUUGGGAUAAAAAAAACUAUCCAAGUCAGGAAUGGUGGUGAAUGCCUUUAAUCCCUUUAAUCCUAGCACUAAGGAGGCAGAGGCUAGAGGAUCCCUGAAGUUUAAAGCCUGUAUGGUCUGUCUACACAGUGAGUUCCAGACCAACCUCAGCAACAUAGCAAACCUCUGUCUUAAAAAAAAAGGGGGGGGGGGCGCUAUCCAUUAAGAUUUUCUGUCUUAAACAAGUUAGUAAUUAGAAGUAAACUUAAAAAAAACAAAUACCCAAAUCUUGUACAAAAAUCUUGAUAUGUUAACACUCCAAAGUUACUAAGGAAAAAAAGAUCUUCCAGUGAGGCUUUUACACACACACACACACACACACACACACAGGUGCACGGAAAGAAAAGUGUCCAGAAACACAGGUAGUGGUCUGCUUGUUUUAGAAGUUAUUUCAUUAUAAUGGGGAAAAUAAUAAUUUUUUUUAUUGAUUAUAAAAAGAAUUUCUAAAUCUCCCUGAGGAUUUAUAAUUGCAUAGCCCAAUCUCCACUCUGACAGAGAUGUGCUAUAACCAGCUGUUUGGUUCGCACACAGGAAGCCAGAGAAGGGAAUACCAUGUUCAGAGCCUCUAAAUAAUAUGCGUUAGUUAAGAACUGCCUGCCUGCUACUAAACCAGAAUUAUUCAAGCAGAGACCCAUUUGUCACAAUCCAAUCAUAAGGGUUCCACCAGCCCUCCCCCAACUGCUUGUGUAGUGGUAUAUGUGCUUCAGUAAAGGAGCCAUCAUCAGGUAAAGAUUGGGGUGGGAGAAAAAGCGGGGGAAAGGGGGCACCCUUUCAUCUAAUUUCGCGAGGCAUGAGUAAUUGGUACAGUUGAGAGGAACGAUGGAACGUUCUAUUUAUUGGAGGUUGGGGUGGGAUGGGGGGUGGGUGGGAGGAGAAUUUCGUUUAAAUCAACAUGGCCAGCAAGAUGUCCCUAACAAACAAAAGGCAACGGGGGAUAUAAACACGAACCAUUCACCUCCAUCAGCUAUAGCAUCGCCAUCAUGGUGUGUUUAGAGACCCCCAAGGCUGCUCUCAUCUGCCACACCAGAGACAGCAAGAGUGCAGAGAGGUGGCUGCAUCCCCACCACCGCUCCCAAAAGCACACUCUUUCAAUGGGUUGCUCCCCACCACCACACACACACCCUCCCCGGUGGCCCGAAAUCAAGAGAGAAACAGUAACGUCCCGCCCGGGCAGACUCCCCCUGCAACCCUUUAGCCGAACCCCCAACGCCGGCUCCGGGCUCGCUAAACUUUCCAAGAGCUUCUCCCUCGUAUUCCCUAGCCGAUUGCCCCGGGAUCGCGCAUUCCCUCUGGCCGGGCACCCAUUGACAGGCGGGCGGGCAGCGGCGGCAAGCGAGGCGGGGGCGCCUGGGCGCCGCGGAGGGGCGGGGCGGCCGGAGCCAAGUUCCCGGGGGUCCGAGCGCUGCGCCUGACAGGAGCCCGGGACGGCGAAAGAGGAAGAGGAAGCGGCAGCGGGGCAGUUUUCCCGAUCCCCCUCUUCCCAGAGCAGCCUACACCCCCCCACCCCCUGGCUGCCCAUGGGGGGGGGGGGGGGAGGCGGGCUGCAAGUAAUAGAACAAUAACGAAGAUGGGCAGAAACCAUGGCUUCUUGGAGUCCAUGAACACAGCAGUCCUGUCACAUCCAGAAGACAGUGUCACUCAGGUCUUCCCCAACCUCUGGCUCUGACAUUCUUCCUGUCCUCUCUACUAUGAUUCCUGAGUCUCCAGAGAAGGCCUAGCCAUUGAGAGUGCUUACUGUUCCUGCAAAGGACCUGAAUUCGAUUUUCAGCUCUCACAUCAGGUUUAAAGUUUUGUGCUACCUUGCGUAGGCCUAAGCUUUUCAUGGCCACUAUACCUCAAGAUCUCCAUGUCAAGGCCCAGGUCAGAAACUUGUGUCUUCUAGCCUCAAGAUCUGGAUCACAGGGUCAGGAUCUGAGAGAAGAUUUUCCAGUCCCAGGGAAGAUCAAGGUGAUGUCUCUCCAGUGGCCUCAGAAGUCCUGAAGACCUGCAGAUACUGUAUUGCUCUUCAUCUCUGCUUAUGCAAGUGGACAUGGACAUUGUAAAGUUCUAGUCAUGUGUCGGUUAUCACUGGAUUCUGGUUAUCAGGUGCAGCCUUGAGUGUAGUGGGAUCCUAACUAAGCUAAUUUUACAUGUCUAAAAGACA